This 253-nucleotide ribosomal RNA is filed under the name uncultured bacterium. RNAcentral's name for it is "partial 16S ribosomal RNA". It matches the Rfam family "Bacterial small subunit ribosomal RNA", at positions 524 to 776 of the family's 1533-position model. The record is from RNAcentral.
UACGUAGGGCGCAAGCGUUGUCCGGAAUUAUUGGGCGUAAAGAGCUCGUAGGCGGUUUGUCGCGUCUGCUGUGAAAACUCGAGGCUCAACCUCGGGCUUGCAGUGGGUACGGGCAGACUAGAGUGCGGUAGGGGUGACUGGAAUUCCUGGUGUAGCGGUGGAAUGCGCAGAUAUCAUGAGGAACACCGAUGGCGAAGGCAGGUCACUGGGCCGCAACUGACGCUGAGGAGCGAAAGCAUGGGGAGCGAACAGG